Long non-coding RNA from Rhododendron vialii, 893 nucleotides. RefSeq lists it as uncharacterized. The transcript is spliced from 2 exons. Lineage: Eukaryota; Viridiplantae; Streptophyta; Magnoliopsida; Ericales; Ericaceae. The record is from RefSeq and is a predicted model, not a curated record.
AACACGUUGGGCUCGAAUUUUUCUUUAUGCCUGAUUGAAUUGGGGCUUUGCAUCUUGAUUGAUAGGAGUGGUUGUUGAUGGUGUUCACAAACAAAAUAGAAGAACCAUGAGCCUAAAGCAUUCAUUUGCCAAUAACGUGUUUGUCAAAAUGUCAAUCCUUCUUUGUCCAAGCCAAUGAUCCAGGAGAUGGAUUUACCGAGUCAUUAAAAGGUAUAGUUAGCAAUAUAUUUCUACAAAAGCAAUGCAUCACCCCUAUUACCAGUGAUGCACCUCUGCUAUGUCUGAUAAUAUUAUGCAGUCAUGUUCAUUUUACAACUUUUGUAACUUUUGUUUUUGGUAAUAGAGAAAAAAUCUUGCUACUAUUCUUGCUCUUGCUUUUGCGUGCACAUGGUUUUUCAUAUACUUAUUUCUAAUUUCUAGGGGUUUUAUGAUCUGAUUUGUGCGUUUUCCUUCUCCUAACUGCAGUUUUGCCCUUCAUCAAUGCCCUGACCCAACGUCGCAGCUCUUUCCAUUGCCGUUAACCAACUUGCAGCUGCAAGCAACAAAGGUUCAAUACACAUGCAUCGUUGUGCUAUCACUCAGAGGUAUGAUGCGUAACCCUUAACCCAUUGGUUAGGGAAGAAGGGAGCAACAAACAAUUAGAAGAAAGCGCCUAUAGGGUGAUUGAUCAACUGUAUUUCAAGUCUAUAUGUUAGCUGAUGGGGGAACGGUAAACUCCCUAAGUUAGAUUUGUUUCCUCCUCAGAUUGUGGUACUAAAGUUUAUUAAAUAGAAACCAGGGUAAGAGUUGAUUAUACACUUUGUUAUUGAUGAUUUUUGGGGUUUUGCAUAUUGAAGUUUACUUCGCUUCUCUCAGAGGUAUAAAAUUUAACUUCAAGUUGGUUUCCAUUAUUC